Molecule: small RNA, 205 nt
Filed under: Caenorhabditis elegans
Lineage: Eukaryota; Metazoa; Nematoda; Chromadorea; Rhabditida; Rhabditidae
Description: Unclassified non-coding RNA F11A10.10
Source: RNAcentral
GCUGAAUCUUUUGCUCAUAAGCAGACAUAAAUCGAUGACGUGGCGCAAUACCGUCAGCAAUCUCCGGAUAAUCAAUUUGGAAGAGAAGUGCUUGCUGGCCAGCUCCUGGAUCACGUUCUUUUGUUACCUUGUAUCCAGGACGUCCGAUUUUCACAAACUUUUUAGUUUCAACUGCAGCUUUCUGUGGAGCUGGUAGAAAUGGUUG